This is a long non-coding RNA of Polypterus senegalus (gray bichir), 358 nucleotides long. RefSeq lists it as uncharacterized. The transcript is spliced from 2 exons. Lineage: Eukaryota; Metazoa; Chordata; Cladistia; Polypteriformes; Polypteridae. The record is from RefSeq and is a predicted model, not a curated record.
CAGACGGCGACGAAGGUGAGAGGAGCGUACUGCACAGUUUUAUUGUAAUACGAUAUGGAACACGUAAACUUAAAAGAAAAAAAUCGUGCUGAGAAGACGCCCAGUGAGGACAAUUGACUCCUCCCCGUCUGAUCCGUCCUCUACAUAUCCCGCGGUUCCCAGAAGGAGGUGUCACUCAUUACGAGAACACAGCAUGGGACGGAGCUCCUUCAUUCAGUGAUUAUAACGGGCUUUGUCAGCCAAGAGAGGUUCCUGAGUCAAGGACCCUGACUUUCAUUUGGUUUGGUGUCAUUGAGCGCAGCUUUUGUUAAUUCCUUUGUCUCAAAUAAACAGUGACGACUGGGUUGGUGCAUCAACA